Molecule: ribosomal RNA, 253 nt
Filed under: uncultured bacterium
Lineage: Bacteria
Description: partial 16S ribosomal RNA
Rfam family: Bacterial small subunit ribosomal RNA
Source: RNAcentral
UACAGAGGUCUCAACCGUUGUUCGGAUUCAUUGGGCGUAAAGGGUGCGUAGGCUGCGGAGUAAGUCGGGUGUGAAAUCUCGGGGCUCAACCCCGAAACUGCACUUGAUACUGCUUCGCUCGAGUACUGGAGAGGAGACUGGAAUUUACGGUGUAGCAGUGAAAUGCGUAGAUAUCGUAAGGAAGACCAGUGGCGAAGGCGAGUCUCUGGACAGUUACUGACGCUGAGGCACGAAGGCCAGGGGAGCAAACGGG